GACGAACGCUGGCGGCGUGCUUAACACAUGCAAGUCGAACGGAAAGGCCCUGCUUUUGUGGGGUGCUCGAGUGGCGAACGGGUGAGUAACACGUGAGUAACCUGCCCUUGACUUUGGGAUAACUUCAGGAAACUGGGGCUAAUACCGGAUAGGAGCUCCUGCUGCAUGGUGGGGGUUGGAAAGUUUCGGCUGUUGGGGCUGGACUCGCGGCUUAUCAGCUUGUUGGUGGGGUAGUGGCUGACCAAGGCUUUGACGGGUAGCCGGCCUGAGAGGGUGACCGGCGACAUUGGGCCUGCGAUACGGCGCAGACUCCUACGGGAGGCAGCAGUGGGGAAUAUUGCACAGUGGGCGGAAGCCUGAUGCAGAAACGCCGCGUGCGGGAUGACGGCCUUCGGGUUGUAAACCGCUUUCGCCUGUGACGAAGCGUGAGUGACGGUAAUGAGUAAAGAAGCACCGGCUAACUACGUG
This 468-nucleotide ribosomal RNA is filed under the name uncultured bacterium. RNAcentral's name for it is "partial 16S ribosomal RNA". It matches the Rfam family "Bacterial small subunit ribosomal RNA", at positions 28 to 507 of the family's 1533-position model. The record is from RNAcentral.